Molecule: ribosomal RNA, 397 nt
Filed under: Ebria sp.
Lineage: Eukaryota; Cercozoa; Thecofilosea; Ebriacea
Description: partial small subunit ribosomal RNA
Rfam family: Eukaryotic small subunit ribosomal RNA
Source: RNAcentral
AUUCCAGCUCCAAUAGCGUAUAUUAAAGUUGUUGCAGUUAAAAAGCUCGUAGUUGGAUUUCUGGUUUGAUGCCCUGGCCCGCUGCUAUUUUGGUAGUGUGUGCCGGUUGUGCGUCUGCCAUCCUUCUAGGGAACGUUCCUUCUCUUCACUGAGCCGGGUUCGUGAUCUAGAUCGUUUACUUUGAAAAAAUUAGAGUGUUUAAAGCAGGCUUUUGCUAUGAAUACAUUAGCAUGGAAUAAUAAUCUGGGACUUCGGUCAUAUUUUGUUGGUUUCUGUAACUAAAGUAAUGAUUAAUAGGGACAGUCGGGGGCAUUUGUAUUCAAACGACAGAGGUGAAAUUCUUGGACCGUUUGAAGACAAACUACUGCGGAAGCAUUUGCCAAGAAUGUUUUCAUCA